CCUACGGGAGGCAGCAGUGAGGAAUAUUGGUCAAUGGACGAGAGUCUGAACCAGCCAAGUAGCGUGAAGGAUGACUGCCCUAUGGGUUGUAAACUUCUUUUAUAUGGGAAUAAAAUGUUCCACGUGUGGGAUUUUGUAUGUACCAUAUGACUAAGGAUCGGCUAACUCCGUGCCAGCAGCCGCGGUAAUACGGAGGAUCCGAGCGUUAUCCGGAUUUAUUGGGUUUAAAGGGAGCGUAGGGGGAUUGUUAAGUCAGUUGUGAAAGUUUGCGGCUCAACCGGAAAAUUGCAGUUGAAACUGGCAGUCUUGAGUACAGUAGAGGUAGGCGGAAUUCGUGGUGUAGCGGUGAAAUGCUUAGAUAUCACGAAGAACUCCGAUUGCGAAGGCAGUUCACUGGACUGCAACUGACACUGAGGCUCGAAAGUGUGGGUAUCAAACAGGAUUAGAUACCCUGGUAGUC
Molecule: ribosomal RNA, 460 nt
Filed under: uncultured bacterium
Lineage: Bacteria
Description: partial 16S ribosomal RNA
Rfam family: Bacterial small subunit ribosomal RNA
Source: RNAcentral